RNAcentral lists this small nuclear RNA (314 nucleotides) under Bison bison bison. RNAcentral's name for it is "7SK RNA (ENSBBBG00000004921.1)". It matches the Rfam family "7SK RNA". From Rfam's summary of the family: 7SK was discovered as an abundant small nuclear RNA in the mid-70s but a possible function has only recently been suggested. Two independent studies have found that 7SK RNA binds the CDK9/cyclin T complex (known as elongation factor P-TEFb). P-TEFb activates transcription by phosphorylating the C-terminal domain of RNA polymerase II. Lineage: Eukaryota; Metazoa; Chordata; Mammalia; Artiodactyla; Bovidae. The record is from RNAcentral.
GGAGCUCUGGCUGCAACAUAAGUCAGCCCACUGAUUGCCAAGUUUGGUUUGACAUAACUGGCAAGGCAGGGGUCUUCCCAACUCCAUGUGCAUCCUCCCUGUACCUGUGCACAGGUACAGUAGGUGUACCUGUACCACCUACUCGGUGGAAAAGGACAACCUUCCUGAUACAGCAGGAUGAUCACAUGGUCAAAUGCACACCAGGAGCUGUACUCCCUUGUUAGAACCUCCAAACAAGAUCUCCAAUAAGAACAACCUCAUAAGCAUUAAAAGACUAUAUACAUGCAUAAAGCACAUAAAAUAACACGACCUAU